RNAcentral lists this small RNA (1931 nucleotides) under Pan troglodytes (chimpanzee). RNAcentral describes it as "retained intron". Lineage: Eukaryota; Metazoa; Chordata; Mammalia; Primates; Hominidae. The record is from RNAcentral.
GGAGGGUCCGGGGCCGAGACGAUGGCUGACGACAACCCUGACAGCGACUCCACGCCGCGCACGCUGCUGCGACGCGUGCUGGAUACAGCGGACCCGCGCACCCCGCGGCGACCCCGGAGUGCUCGGGCUGGAGCCCGGAGAGCCCUGCUUGAAACGGCUUCCUCCAGGAGGUUGAGUGGCCAAACAAGGACGAUAGCCAGAGGGCGUUCCCAUGGAGCCAGGUCUAUUGGCAGAUCGGCCCAUAUUCAGGCCAGUGGGCACUUGGAGGAACAGACACCUCGGACGCUGCUGAAGAACAUCCUACUAACUGCCCCAGAAUCUUCCAUCCUGAUGCCUGAGUCGGUAGUGAAGCCAGUGCCAGCACGGCAGGUGGUCCAACCCUCCAGACAAGAGAGCAGUUGCGGCAGCCUGGAGCUGCAACUUCCUGAGCUCGAGCCCCCCACAACCCUGGCUCCAGGUCUGCUGGCCCCUGGCAGGAGGAAACAGAGGCUGAGACUGUCAAUGUUUCAGCAGGGAGUGGACCAGGGGUUGUCUCUCUCCCAAGAGCCUCAAGGGAAUGCUGAUGCCUCUUCCCUCACCAGAUCCCUCAACCUGACCUUUGCCACACCUCUUCAGCCACAGUCAGUGCAGAGGCCUGGCUUGGCCCGCAGACCUCCAGCCCGCCGAGCUGUAGACGUGGGUGCCUUUUUGCGGGAUCUGCGAGAUACUUCCCUGGCUCCUCCAAACAUUGUGUUGGAGGACACCCAGCCGUUCUCUCAGCCCAUGGUUGGCUCCCCCCAUGUGUAUCACUCCCUGCCCUGCACGCCUCACACUGGGGCUGAAGACGCUGAGCAGGCUGCCGGUCGCAAGACACAGAGCAGUGGGCCUGGGCUGCAGAAGAAUAGUGAGUGUGUGGCACUGGUGGCCUGGAGCCAAAUUUAGCUUGGGUGAGAGUUGACAAUGGUAGUUUUCCUUCCUCAAGCCCCUCUGUGCCCCUAGAGCACCCUGGCUGUGGCUGCCUCCUUCAUCCAAGAGCAGAGUCCAUGUUGGGCCAGGAGACUUCAGAUCCAUGUCCUGGUGCUGCCUCUGGCUUUGUCUUUCCUCAGUGGGCAGGACUGGGUCUGCUAGUCCAUCUUUACCCUUCUCUGAGCUAUGCAGCCUUGGCCUGCUGCGUCUCCAGCCUGUAUUCUCUCCCCUUCACUCAGGCCCUGGGAAACCAGCCCAGUUUCUGGCAGGAGAGGCAGAGGAGGGCGAUGCCUUUGCUCUGGGCUUCCUGAGCACCAGCAGUGGUGUCUCUGGAGAAGAUGAAGUAGAGCCCUUACACGGUGGAGUUGAAGAGGCAGAGAAAAAGAUGGAAGAAGAAGGUGUGAGUCAAGUCCAGAGUCGGCCUCCAGCACCCCUGAGUCUCUCCAGGCCAGGCGACAUCAUCAGUUUAUUGAGCCAGCCCCAGCGCCUGGUGCUGCAGUCUUAUCUUCAGAGCCUGCAGAGCCUCUGUUGGUCAGGCAUCCCCCUAGGCCCCGGACCACCGGCCCCAGGCCCCGGCAAGAUCCCCACAAGGCUGGACUGAGCCACUAUGUGAAACUCUUUAGCUUCUAUGCCAAGAUGCCCAUGGAGAGGAAGGCUCUUGAGAUGGUGGAGAAGUGCCUAGAUAAAUAUUUCCAGCAUCUUUGUGAUGAUCUGGAGGUAUUUGCUGCUCAUGCUGGCCGCAAGACUGUGAAGCCAGAGGACCUGGAGCUGCUGAUGCGGCGGCAGGGCCUGGUCACUGACCAAGUCUCACUGCACGUGCUAGUGGAGCGGCACCUGCCCCUGGAGUACCGGCAGCUGCUCAUCCCCUGCGCAUACAGUGGCAACUCUGUCUUCCCUGCCCAGUAGUGGCCAGGCUUCAACACUUUCCCUGUCCCCACCUGGGGCCUCUUGCCCCCACAUAUUUCUCCAGGUCUCCUCCCCACCCC